Molecule: long non-coding RNA, 2589 nt
Filed under: Brassica rapa (field mustard)
Lineage: Eukaryota; Viridiplantae; Streptophyta; Magnoliopsida; Brassicales; Brassicaceae
Description: long non-coding RNA (BRAP_LNC005249)
Source: RNAcentral
GGCUUUGAUCAAUCUAUAGAGAGAACAUGAAAUUGCUUGUAUGGUUACAAAGAGAGAACAAGAAGUUGUUUUAUAGAGAACAUGAAGGAGAAUACGUAUCUCCAUAAUCCGUGACUACACAAGCAAACAAAAUAGUAGACAAGACUACACUACUCAAACAAGCAAAAGAGUAGACAAGACUACACAACACAAGACAACAAAAGAGUAGACAACACUACACAACACAAGUCCGUGAAACUGAGUAUCAAACAUCCAUGACUCUUCAAGUCCGUGACUCUUCCACAGUACACACGUCCGUGACUCGUCCACACUUUACAAUGCACCAUGAUCUUCAAGCGAUCCAUCCUGAAGAAGAACAACACCAAAACGAUCACUCAUCCAAAAACAGUCACAUAAAACAUAUAUAUCUGUUGGACAUAAAAGAUCACUCAGCCAAAAUGAUCACUCAUCCAGAGAUUAAAACAAGAACAUAAACCUUUUUAUAACAUCACUAACCAGGACAAUGAAACAUAAGUUACAAGCCGAUGAAAUAAAACAGAAACAGAGAUCAAAAACAGUGACAUACAACAACCAGGAAACUUAACCAACAAACAAAGAUUAAAACCGAGACUUAAUAGACUUCAUCUAAUUAGACAUCAACUCAAUACUGAGCUGCUUCUUCAGAGCUUCUUCAUAAUCAGCAAGGGGUUCUUCUUUUGCAAGGAGACGCUCAAGAAGCCUCAUCUUCGACACCCUUUCUUUCAUCUUAAGAUCCUGCUGCUUGAUGAUCCACAUAGUCUCAAACGACGCGUCCAGAUCCUUUCCCCCCUCCAUCGUCUUCUUACCACGGGCUUUUGCAGCCUUAACACCCUCGGGACGAAUACUUCCUUCAGUUGCUGAAUGUUCACUGUCCUCACACUUCCUCUUUUUUUACGCAGACAGCUCACUCCACUUCUGGUCAUUACGCAACUCUUUCCAAGCAUACUCAAGGGUGAACUUUUUGUUAUGGUUUGUGAAGAAGAUCUCAUGGGCUCGCUUGAGGACAUCAGUCUCAUUUUGCCCACUCGAUCUCUCUCUGUUUGCAGCUUCAUAUGCUCCACAAAACUUGCAAACUACGUCAUUAAUCUUGUGCCAGCGAUUCUUACAGUGAGCUGCCUCUCUCUUCUCACACCCAGCAAGCUUCGGACUAGCAUUGUAAUACUCAGCAAUUCUUUUCCAGAAUGCUGAAGACCUUUGCUCGUUCCCAACGAUAGGGUCUUUGCUCGUGUUCAGCCACAAGCUGAUGAGUACUACAUCGUCGGUUGGGGUCCACGCUCUUCUUUCUUUACGGAUGGCUUCAGUGUUUGCACCACUGCCACCACUGCCUAAGAAGGGAGCUUGCGAUGCAACAUUUUGUUGACUGGUAAGUAAGUCAACAAAGUUAGCAGACUCGCUAAAUGGAUUAAAGUCCAUUUUCCAAAGUCAAGAGAAGAGAGAAAAAAUAGAUAGGAGUCUGUUUGGAGUUGGAAGAGAAGGCAAGAGUUUUAAAGAAGAAAUGAACACUCGCAUUGAAGAAGUGAAAACACCCAACCACAAACAAAUUCGAAUUAGACAUAUAUCUACCUUCUAUUAAUUACUCUAUCACAGCCGUAAUACACACACAAAGCAAACACUUUAUCAUCCUCAAAGCAAGUCAUUUAACUCAACCACUACUUUUUCAUUUAACUCACCACUUCUUUUUCAUACAGACACAAAUCACUUCUAUUUAUUACUAACCUAACUCAAACAAAAGGCAUUGAAUGAGAAUAAUUCAUGAAGACAUUUACCUGUAUUCCUCCUCUGAUUUGACGAUCCUUCGUCAUCUGCUUUGACGUUCCUUCCUCAACUAUCUUGUUUCAUUGCGCUCAACAGACAAACAUAUAAAAACGAAACAAAAAUCAGUAGCAGCUCAAAAGACAAACACACAGACAAACACACACUUGAUUCAAUUCAGUUCCAAUUCAAUUUCAAAGCAGAACCUAAACCAUAUGAAUUCAAAGCAAAUCCUAAAUCUCUAUUGCAUUGUAAAAGCUUUUUAUCAACCGUUCAAUCAUUUUAACAGAGCAAAUCCUCUAGAACUUUUACCUCUAUUGCAGACGAGAAUCACAGUCAAUAUGGCCUUCUCAUCUUCUUUGAUCCAUCCAUAUGAAGCAACAAAGACAAAGACAAAUCAUGAGGCACAUACCAACACAACAACUAAUCAAAAUAACAAAUAAGGAUACAGAUUUACCUUUCGUUUUCAUUUACUCUGGCCCGGCGAUAGAGAUUUCGUCUGCUUCAUCAUCAUCGAGGAGAUCGACACAGAGAGUCACGGAGAGAUUCAUCGGGGAGUCCAAGCAGAGAGAGAGAGACGAGGAGAGAUCAUCUUCGAGUGAUCACGUCGAGGAGAGAUCAUCUUUGAGGAGCUAUCACCAGAAGAGAUCACGGAGUCAUCGGGGAGAGCGAUAGGCACGCCGAUUGGGGCGGAUUCCAUCCAGGAGAGAUCAACGACGACUGAUUCCGUCGAUAGAGAACACGAGAUAGAGGAGAUUGACGUUGAUUCGCCAAGAGAGAGACACAAGAGGAGAGGCGGAAUCAUCGAGAGAGGAAAAA